This 428-nucleotide unclassified non-coding RNA is filed under the name uncultured bacterium. Its description in RNAcentral is "16S-23S ribosomal RNA intergenic spacer". The record is from RNAcentral.
UAAGGAGCACCACGAGACUCAAGCCGGCCCGCAUAGCGCGGAUCACCGAGACUUGGGCGAUUCGAUGGAUGGGCCGCACCUGUAGUGGGUGUGGUUCGGGUGCGCGACAAACGUUGAGCCGGUACGGGUUUCGAGUGAUCGAUGCCGGUGAUGGACUGCCAGACACACUAUUGGGCUUUGAGACAACAGGCCCGCUAUCUCUUCGUCCCGAGUGUGGGAAACCGGGGAUAGGACUGGUUGUCGCCUCGCUUUGGUGGUGGGGUGUGGUGUUUGAUUUGUGGAUAGUGGUUGCGAGCAUCUAGGCAGCGAAUGUGGGCUCACCGCGGUUGUGUGUGGUGGGUUUGUUUGGCUGUCUGAUGUGCAAUUUUUCUGAUGCCCGCAUGCGCCUGUUUGGGUGUGUGUGGGUGACUCAUUUUUUGGUUUUGUGU